UAACAGAUGCUUCACUAUUAAAAUAUUUUCCCCCCAAGUCUCAAAUAUUGAAGAAUCUCUAACCAGGCUCGAAACGCCGGUCUCAGUGACUAUUGAGUUACCCACCAAGUUACCCCGGGACACCAGUCCCAACGAAGACCUUGGGCGAUUUCAAAGUGCGGGCACCUCGAUUCCCCGAAUCUGUAGUGUGGCUGGUAUCGGUGUUUCCCUGGUUUAACUAGCCUGCUUGAAGGCGCAGAUCAUUCAUGGGGAAGUAAAACCGAAACCAGUCCUCUCCACCCCCUGCGGGUCUUCACUUUCCCAGUCUACAUCUGCCUGUGACUCCAGAAAGACAAACUGCAGAUUGGCCAAGGUACAUCUCAGAUCAGAUCCCUCUGGGAAAAGCGCGGGAAUGCUUGGCUCUAGUAGUUAGGAGCUCUGGUGAGAGCGCCCCUAGUGCCAUUUUCCCAUCCCUGCCCUUGACGGUCCCCUUUGGUCUAAAUUCACGGUUCUAGACAGUCAAAGUCUACCUGCUGGAUGUCCACUUUCAAGCCAUAGGUUUUCAAUACUAAAAGCGAUUAGGACCUUGGCUCAAAAUGUGGUCAACGCAGUGUUCAAAUUAGGAGGGCAGCUGGGAGAUGGCAGCAGGGGAUGAAAGUAUGACUCCUACUUUGUCCCCAACUGUGAGUCUGGCACCCCUUGACUUGCCAGUAUGCUGGCAAACAACCCAUCUCUUUUGGAGAAUCCACACUUCGUUUCUUCUAGGUCCAGCCUAAAUGUUACCUCCUCCAGGGAGCCUUUCCAGAUACUGCUUCUCC
RNAcentral lists this non-coding RNA (797 nucleotides) under Pongo abelii (Sumatran orangutan). Lineage: Eukaryota; Metazoa; Chordata; Mammalia; Primates; Hominidae. The record is from RNAcentral.